UACGUAGGGGGCGAGCGUUGUCCGGAAUUACUGGGCGUAAAGCGUGCGCAGGCGGUUUUGUAAGUCUGUCGUGAAAUCCCCGGGCUCAACCUGGGAAUUGCGAUGGAGACUGCAAGGCUAGAAUCUGGCAGAGGGGGGUAGAAUUCCACGUGUAGCAGUGAAAUGCGUAGAGAUGUGGAGGAACACCGAUGGCGAAGGCAGCCCCCUGGGUCAAGAUUGACGCUCAUGCACGAAAGCGUGGGGAGCAAACAGG
Molecule: ribosomal RNA, 253 nt
Filed under: uncultured bacterium
Lineage: Bacteria
Description: partial 16S ribosomal RNA
Rfam family: Bacterial small subunit ribosomal RNA
Source: RNAcentral